Archocentrus centrarchus (flier cichlid) is the source of this 213-nucleotide long non-coding RNA. RefSeq lists it as uncharacterized. The record is from RefSeq and is a predicted model, not a curated record. Lineage: Eukaryota; Metazoa; Chordata; Actinopteri; Cichliformes; Cichlidae. The transcript is spliced from 4 exons.
AUCUCUACCCCCCGCUGCUUCUGGUGACUGAUUGGAUUAGGUUGCAUUGUGCGCAGAACAUACUCUGUCAGAGGGCCCCUGUCACUCUGGUAUGUGGACACAAACCAAAAGCUGAUCAGGUACAACAUUGUACUUUUCGGUGCAGUAGAUGGCUACUCCAGGAAGGUGAUGUGUUUGGAGGCUGCAACAAAUAAUCAUGCAUCAACAGUAUUG